AUGUGAAUGAGAGUGAGAUCUUUUUGUGUAGAACUGAACCCUUAUCUGCUGAUAACUAUAAGCUUUUGAAAAAGAGGAUUGAUGAGAUGUAUCAGGUUAACUUGAUUCUUGAUAAUUUGCCGGCAAUAAGGUAUACCAGGAAGGAGUCAUACCUCUUGAGGUGGACGGGGUAUCCUGUUGGAAUUAAGGUCCAGGAUACCUACUAUGUGUUUAACCAUUUGAAGUUUACAGUUCUUGUUCACAAGUAUGAAGAGGCCAAUGUAGCACGUGUGAUGGGGACUGGAGAUGCUGCCGAGGUCAUUCCAACAAUUGGGAAUGAAGGGUCGGAUAUUCCAGGGUACAUGGUUGUGGGAUUUGAAGUGGUUCCCUGCAACUUCAUGCAUAAUGUUCAGUCAGUGAAAAACUCAAAAAUGUAUGAUAAAUACCCAUCCCCAAUUAAAUGUGAUCCUACCACUGUGGCUAUGCCAAUUAAGGAGAAUGAGCCUAUUGUAUUUACCUAUGAGGUCACAUUUGAGGAGAGUGAUAUCAAGUGGCCAUCAAGAUGGGAUGCCUAUUUGAAGAUGGAGGGGUCAAAGGUGCAUUGGUUCUCAAUCAUGAAUUCUCUGAUGGUUAUCACCUU
Molecule: unclassified non-coding RNA, 619 nt
Filed under: Hevea brasiliensis (rubber tree)
Lineage: Eukaryota; Viridiplantae; Streptophyta; Magnoliopsida; Malpighiales; Euphorbiaceae
Source: RNAcentral